CUCUCUCUCUCUCUCCUGCUACCUCGUUCUUUUCUUUUCUUCCUUUUCAUUUUUGCAGUGACUUUUCCUCUUUUUUUUGAACCAUCAAUUAUAAAUCUGAAACUUUAGAUUAUUCUUUAUCAAUUUUCAAAAAUUCUCUUCAUUUUCCAUACCAUAACAACAAUGAACUCAUCGGCAAUAUUUAGCUCUUCCCCUAUUACUGAUGCCUUCGUUUUCUAAUCAAAGUAUCAUGUAAGAAAUCAAAGAAUCAAUCUUCUCUGUUAUUUAUGCACUCGUUUGGAGUUCACCGCGUCUGUCACCGCUGAAACUACUUCAAUGUUUAGGCGGUGUUCCUUCUCCUUAAGAUGAGUUAAGACACAAUCCUCCUGAAGUUCUUUCCCGCGAGAAACAUAAUCGGUGAAAUUUUCCGAGUAGUAACCAAAGGAGAGCCGAUUGAGCGAGUUUUUAAAGUUAGUUUUCGGUCUGGAUAACAACAAUGUUAGCCAACAUUUUCUAAGUUACCAUAUAUUAAUUAUGUUUUAGGAGAAUCUCAAUUUUAUAUUAUUGUUUGGAUAUAUGCUUUGUUAUCAGUUACAAACAAAUUACUUUUAACUGAUAAAUAUUUAUAAAAAGGAGUAAAAAUAGUUAUUCUUAAUUGAUGCAUUAUUUUUUAGCUGAUAAAUUAUUUGUUAGUUGAUACACUUGUUUGAUAUGUUAUUUGUUAGUUGAAUAUUUAUUCUUUAGAAUCAAAUUAUGUAUCAUGUAACAAAAAAUAUACUAGUUAACAAUUUAUAUACUGACUAACAUACCUUGUAGUAGUUGAUACAUGAUUUAGCUUCUAAAAAAUAGAUUACGCAAUAGUGAUUUUUUAAUAGCUGUUGUUCCAAGAAGCAUGACAGAAUUUGAGAUUAUGAUUUCACUGUAAUAUUUGCAUUCAUCCUCAACGAAAUGAUGUGUAGGUUGUACAGACGAGACGAGGAGGACGUUGUCGGAGAAUAAAAAUGUUGGUUAUAUGGAGUAUACGAGCAGUGGAUUUGAGAAGAUGAUGUUAUUAAUUAAAAUUAUAUAUAUAUUGAUAAUCAUAUGAAAGCUAUAUGAAAAUAAAAAAAAGAUUGUAAGAAAAAGAGAUGAUGUAUGAGAUGAAAAGAAGAAAGAGAUUCGGUGGUGUGAGAUGAAGAAAGAGAAAUGGUGUAGAUGAGAUAUGGGCUGUAAUAACCCUCAAGAGCAGAUAAAAUUUUGGUCGAGAAAAAUCCCGCUCGACCAGUUUGGAGUUGGUUCGACCAGAAUUAAAAAUAAAAAUCGAUCCGGUGAAGUAUUCUUGAUGGGACUGUCUCGAGGCCAAAAUACGUACUCUUAAUAGUUCUGACCAAGUGUUAAUUAUUAUGGUCGAGUUUUAUCUAAGCUGGACGAGAACCGAUGGAUAGGAAACAUUUUUUGAAAACUGGUCUUGAAUACUUUCAGCUGCUUGCGAGUCAUGUGCAUGUCAUGUGCUGCCUGGCUGCUUGCUUCCUUCCUGACCUGAACAUGGGGCUUGCACCUUCAUGCUUCCUUGCUACAUUAAAUUCAUGUGAGUUGUACACCUGCUUGAAGUUUCUUCAUGGAAAGGAAAUGACAUUACUUAAUAGGAAGGAAAGUGUGAUUCAGCUCACCACAUGUCUCAUACUGAUCUGAAACUUUUGUCCUUUCUUGCUGACUCUUCCUUCUCCUGCUGUUUCCCCUGUCAUUUAUUACCUUGUCCUCUUCCUGGUCAAGCUCAUUCAUCUCAGAAACAAGAAAGAAAAAUUCAGAGAGAAAUAGAGAAAGAAAGAGAGAAAAAUCUGUGAGGAAAAUACAAAUCAGAAAAAAAAAUCAGAGAAGAGAAGUGAGCUUGCACGAUCCUUUCUCACCCUCUUAUGACUUUUAUCAUUGUGUUCUGGUGUGGUUUAGAGCUGAAGGUUUGGCGUUCAAGAGUUUAGAAUCACCCAAGUUCUUCAGCCAUUGAUUUUAUCGGUUAGACGUGGGUUCAGCUUGAAGCUUAUAGCAACAAUGUUCAUUUAAACCUUGAGAAAACCGUUGGUCGAAGAAAUUGAAAUUACCAGCCGGGUCAUGCCUUGUCCUCAUUCUGUUUUGGGAGUUAUCAGCAAGUGAUGAACGUUUAGCUUGAGCUCGAGUCUAGUUUUCCAUAGGCAAUCUCAUGGAUUCAAAGGUAACCAAUAGGCGGGAGACCUUACUCUAGGACGGGAAGGAACAUCAUUAGCCAGCGGUAGUUUUAUUAUCCUUGCAAAGGCGUUUUGAUAUUUCUUAUUUAUAAGAUUUAUUGACCGAAAACCUCGAGGUUAAUUUAUAACAAAUUUUGUAAGAUGCUUUUGUAUGAUAUAUAAAGAAUGUUUUUAAAGUAGGGGUUUCAUAUGAUAUUAGUCCUUGUCCGGACGAACUAACUAUCGGGUAUUGUUUUUUCGGAUUAAAAAGCCUAGAGUGAUAUCUGAUAGGAGCGUUGGUGUUCUUUGGUUGUUGGUCUAAGGCGAUCAGAAGUAUUCUGAGAACCUCGGAUCGACCAUCGAGGAACAUGAACCGUGUCAUUUCUGGUUAACUACGAUCGGGGGUGUCACAUGGGCAAUUUGGGAAGUGCAAGACAUAAAAGUUACUGUAAACUACCCUUGUGUUACGUCAUGUGUACAUGGCUAAUAUCCUUCCGUUUUGUGUAUAUCUGACAAAAUCACUCUUUUAUAAAUGCUAUUGCAUCCGAUAUGAUAGCACUAAUUAAUUAAUUAAUUAAUUAUUUAUAUUUAUAAAAUUUAUAUUUUUAUAAUAAUUUAAUUUUAAAUUAAAAUUGUUUCAUUAAUAACUAGUGGUUUAAUUUGAUUUAAAAAAUAAAAUAAUUACCAAAUAGAAAUAGGCUUUAUAAAGUUAAUCGGCUUACAAUUAUUACAAAGCUAAACAAAAUCUAAAUAACAAUAAAAUUUAAUAAAACCGAUUUACAAAGCCUAAAGCUUAACUUAAAAAAAAAACAAAUUAACCCUACAUCUCAGACAUCCCGUCGUUAACUUCAACAUCCAAGUCGUUCCAUCCCCGUCGCCGUUCCUUUGUUCCAUCUCCUCCGCCGUUCCUCUUUUUCCUCUCCAGCCCCGCUCCACUACCAUCUCCGGCACCGUUCAUCUGUCCUUCUCCAGCCCCUCUCAAAUACCAUCUCCGCCGCCGUUCCUCUGCUUUCUCCAUCACCUUUUACAAGGAACAUCACCUUCCCUACCCCACAUCUCCUAGUAUAAUCGAGGAAGGACCUCAUUUAAAAUCAAUUUUUUUUUGAAUUAUUUUUAGCUCGAAAAUCAAGGAGAUUACAUAUUGGGGGAUUUUCUCAGAUAGACAUUUUUAAGUUUUUGUCACCAAAAUAGACUCCAAAAACUAAAAUAACCAAAAUAGCAUUUC
Molecule: long non-coding RNA, 3381 nt
Organism: Brassica napus (rape)
Lineage: Eukaryota; Viridiplantae; Streptophyta; Magnoliopsida; Brassicales; Brassicaceae
Exons: 4
Source: RefSeq, a predicted model, not a curated record